This 239-nucleotide ribosomal RNA is filed under the name uncultured bacterium. RNAcentral describes it as "partial 16S ribosomal RNA". It matches the Rfam family "Bacterial small subunit ribosomal RNA", at positions 95 to 334 of the family's 1533-position model. The record is from RNAcentral.
CCGGCGCACGGGUGAGUAACGCGUAUCCAACCUGCCUUACACUCUUGGACAGCCUUCUGAAAGGGAGAUUAAUACAAGAUGUUAUCAUGAGUAAGCAUUUCCACAUGAUUAAAGGUUUACCGGUGUAAGAUGGGGAUGCGUUCCAUUAGAUAGUAGGCGGGGUAACGGCCCACCUAGUCUUCGAUGGAUAGGGGUUCUGAGAGGAAGGUCCCCCACAUUGGAACUGAGACACGGUCCAA